RNAcentral lists this ribosomal RNA (506 nucleotides) under uncultured Actinomycetes bacterium. RNAcentral's name for it is "bacterial SSU rRNA". It matches the Rfam family "Bacterial small subunit ribosomal RNA", at positions 355 to 873 of the family's 1533-position model. The record is from RNAcentral. Lineage: Bacteria; Bacillati; Actinomycetota; Actinomycetes.
UAGGGAAUCUUGCGCAAUGAGGGAAACCUUGACGCAGCGACGCCGCGUGCGGGAUGAAGGCCUUCGGGUUGUAAACCGCUUUCAGCAGGGACGAAAUUGACGGUACCUGCAGAAGAAGGCCCGGCCAACUACGUGCCAGCAGCCGCGGUAAUACGUAGGGGCCUAGCGUUGUCCGGAUUUAUUGGGCGUAAAGAGCUCGUAGGCGGUUCGGUAAGUCAGGUGUGAAAUCUCCACGCUCAACGUGGAGGCGCCACCUGAAACUGCCGUGACUAGAGUCCGGUAGGGGAGUGUGGAAUUCCCGGUGUAGCGGUGAAAUGCGCAGAUAUCGGGAGGAACACCAGUGGCGAAGGCGGCACUCUGGGCCGGAACUGACGCUGAGGAGCGAAAGCGUGGGGGAGCGAACAGGAUUAGAUACCCUGGUAGUCCACGCCGUAAACGUUGGGCACUAGGGUGUGGGACUCUAUCGACGGGUUCCGUGCCGUAGCUAACGCAUUAAGUGCCCCGCU